UGCCAGCCGCCGCGGUAAUACGUAGGGGGCAAGCGUUGUCCGGAAUUAUUGGGCGUAAAGAGCGUGUAGGCGGCCAGAUAAGUCUGCUGUGAAAUCUCGAGGCUCAACUUCGAGCUGUCGGUGGAAGCUAUCUGGCUAGAGUCCGGAAGAGGAGAAUGGAAUUCCUGGUGUAGCGGUGAAAUGCGCAGAUAUCAGGAAGAACACCCGUGGCGAAGGCGGUUCUCUGGGACGGUACUGACGCUGAGACGCGAAAGCGUGGGGAGCGAACAGGAUUAGAUA
This 279-nucleotide ribosomal RNA is filed under the name uncultured bacterium. RNAcentral describes it as "partial 16S ribosomal RNA". It matches the Rfam family "Bacterial small subunit ribosomal RNA", at positions 506 to 784 of the family's 1533-position model. The record is from RNAcentral.